RNAcentral lists this ribosomal RNA (530 nucleotides) under uncultured bacterium. RNAcentral describes it as "bacterial SSU rRNA". It matches the Rfam family "Bacterial small subunit ribosomal RNA", at positions 1003 to 1533 of the family's 1533-position model. The record is from RNAcentral.
GAGAUGGAUUCCUUCAGUUCGGCUGGCGAGAACACAGGUGUUGCAUGGCUGUCGUCAGCUCGUGUCGUGAGAUGUUGGGUUAAGUCCCGCAACGAGCGCAACCCUCGCCUUUAGUUGCCAUCAUUUAGUUGGGCACUCUAGAGGGACUGCCGGUGAUAAGCCGGAGGAAGGUGGGGAUGACGUCAAGUCCUCAUGGCCCUUACGGGUUGGGCUACACACGUGCUACAAUGGCGGCGACAAUGGGCAGCGAAGGGGCGACCCGGUGCAAAUCCCAAAAAGCCGUCUCAGUUCGGAUUGUACUCUGCAACUCGAGUGCAUGAAGGUGGAAUCGCUAGUAAUCGCGUAACAGCAUGACGCGGUGAAUACGUUCCCGGGCCUUGUACACACCGCCCGUCACGCCAUGGGAGUUGGUUUUACCCGAAGCUGGUGCGCUAACCGCAAGGAGGCAGCCAACCACGGUAAGGUCAGCGACUGGGUGAAGUAGUAACAAGGUAGCCCUAGGGGAACCUGGGGCUGGAUCACCUCCUUAA